CCAGCUGUGUAUGAUACAGGUGUUGGUGUUAGGUGAUCAUUUGGAGCAGGUGGGUGACUAACUAAUAUUGCAUAGACCUGGGGAGAUGAGAUCCUCGCAGACGGACAGGGCCAUCUGGAUCGCGCGUUGGGCUGGCUUGUGAGCGUGACCGAGGUGGCGUUCAGCGGAUCUUCGAUCGUGCCGUGGCGCUUGUUGGCCUGCUCACGCCCUGCGGAAGAUCUGCUCGCUAUUGCUUAUCCUGUGCUCAGCACCGCGCGAUGUUGCACGAUCUUGCGGCUCGCAGCCGGCGCCGCGAAGGAGAGGGGAGCAGAGCCACGCGCGGCCAGCAGGCGACAUGGGUGCUUUCAUGGGCCGCGGGACUCCGGCUCGCCCCUGCCCGGUCCCGCUCA
Non-coding RNA from Chelonoidis abingdonii (Abingdon island giant tortoise), 389 nucleotides. The record is from RefSeq and is a predicted model, not a curated record. Lineage: Eukaryota; Metazoa; Chordata; Testudines; Testudinidae.